CAUACUAUUUAGUAACUAAAUCUCUUUUCUUGAAAACAGGUACCAUGCAACAUUAAAAUUGGCACAUUAUUCGUCUGUUUCAGUCACUUUCAUUGCUUAACUAAACUGACAUAUAAACAUGUCAAUUUUACAGCUACAAAUGUUAUCUUUCAAUUUCUAAGCUUUACAUAUGGGUAUUUAAAGUAUGUGUUUCACAGAGUAGAAACAAAAUCUGUCAACAUAUUCAUGAUUUGAAACAACUUUUUGCUGAAUCAUCAACUCAGUUGUAAGUUGUGACAUGUUUUAGCUCUCCUGUACCACAUGAAGAAGUUACUUAUAUGUCCACAUCUUUCAGGUCAUUGUAUUGAAUUUGUCUGAUAAAGUAGAUAUGUGACAUUUACAAGUUUUGAAA
Long non-coding RNA from Haliotis rubra (blacklip abalone), 391 nucleotides. RefSeq lists it as uncharacterized. The record is from RefSeq and is a predicted model, not a curated record. NCBI's taxonomy places the organism in Eukaryota, Metazoa, Mollusca, Gastropoda, Lepetellida, Haliotidae. The transcript is spliced from 2 exons.